This is a long non-coding RNA of Panonychus citri (citrus red mite), 1541 nucleotides long. RefSeq lists it as uncharacterized. The transcript has 2 exons. The record is from RefSeq and is a predicted model, not a curated record. NCBI's taxonomy places the organism in Eukaryota, Metazoa, Arthropoda, Arachnida, Trombidiformes, Tetranychidae.
UAAGUUAAUCAUCCUACUGUUUUCAAUCAGAAUUGAUCAACUAUGAAAUUGAACAAUUAAGACGAUCAAUGUUUUGACCAACCAAAUUGGAAAUGUAAUUAACAAUUUAAAAUUCAAACCUCGAUUAAGCCUAAAUUGAUGAAGGAUGAUGAUGAUGAGGUACCACAAUUAACAAUCAGUGUAAACUAAUAUGAUUAUGUUUAAUAGCCGAUACUAAAUUGUAACUGAUUAUGAUACCUUGAAAUGAGAUAAACGAUAAUUAUUGAUUGUAAAGAGUUAAAGUAAUCGCCUUUAUUCAAGGUUAAUCAAAUCGCAAUUAAAGGUAAGAUGAUAAUCAGGUAUCAAAGAUUAAGAUGAAAACUAUUAUUUCUCAUCAAAAAUUGAACAUCGUUGAUUAAACUAAUCAAAUCUUUUAAGGAUUUAGCCAAUUAUUUGUUUCUAUUAUUAAAUCAAUCAACAGGCGUUCAUUGUUUAUCAUCAAAUCUUAAUCCUUAAUCUUGCCAGAAUUAACCUUGGAUUCACCGAGUAAUCAGUUAGAUGAGAUUUUUUUAUUCAUUUUUUUUGACAAAGGAAAAAAUUUCAUUCAGUUUAUACUGAAUGAAGAUGAAGAUGAUGAUGAUGAUGAUGAUGAUUAUAGUAUUAUGAUGUUCAAUGUAAUGAAGGCGUUCUCAUGAUAGAUCAGUUUGAUGAUUGGCCUCAAAAGGAAUUAAAAUUUUCACUUCGAACCAGAAUAAUCGAUUCUGACCAGCCCUGAAAAUCUGAAGAAAAAAAAUCAACGGGAAACCUGAAUUCUGAAAGAAAGCAUGGGAAGAUAAAUGAAAGAGAAUCAGGAUGACGAUGAAGAUGAAGGUGUUGACCAAUUCUAUUAGGCGACCUCACCUUUUGCGAAAGAAGAAAAAGUUUAGUAUAAAAACGAACUGAAUCCAAGUUGUAAAUCAUCAGUUUCGAAGUAUCAAUCGAAGUAACAAUUUAAAACAAACUUUCAAUUCUCACCAAACAACAAACACCAAACUCAACUCAAUCAAAAUGAAGACUGUUAUGGUUCUCCUUGUUAUCGCUCUCUUUGCCGCUGCCACUUUCUCAGUUGCUCAAAGCCAAUACUACGCUGCUCCUUCAGCCGCUUACGUUGGAUACACCGGCUAUGGUUAUGCCGCCGCUCCAGUCUACACCGGAUACGCUCACACUUACCCUGCAGCCGCCGCUUACACUUACCUCAAGAAAUAGAUUCGCCCCUCAGAUGACCAAUGGCUUUGGAUGAAUGAAUAUGAUUUGGUUAUCAUCUUUGUCUUCCAUUACCUACUCUCUCUCUCUCUCUCUCUCAUUCAGUUUGCCGAUCAGUUUACCAGUCAAUCAAAAUCUCUCACUCACUCACUUUCUCUCUCUCUCUCUCUCCUUUCAGAUUCAAUGUUAGUUGUUAUCCUAUUUGGUUAGUUUAUCUUCUUGUUAAUUGGAAAAAGUUUCGAAAACUUUUUUCUUGUUUUUCCUGUUACAUGAAUUCACUUUUUCAAUGCAAUUUAAUAAAAUGAAUUAAAAAAAAUUAA